RNAcentral lists this ribosomal RNA (381 nucleotides) under Pomacea nobilis. RNAcentral's name for it is "partial large subunit ribosomal RNA". It matches the Rfam family "Bacterial large subunit ribosomal RNA", at positions 1944 to 2542 of the family's 2925-position model. Lineage: Eukaryota; Metazoa; Mollusca; Gastropoda; Architaenioglossa; Ampullariidae. The record is from RNAcentral.
GACUGUGCUAAGGUAGCAUAAUCAUUUGCCUUAUAAUUGAAGGCUAGUAUGAAUGGUCUGACGAAAGUUAUGCUGUCUUUUAUUAAAUAAAAUGAAAUUGACCUGCAGGUGCAAAGGCCUGUAUAAAACUAAAAGACGAGAAGACCCUAUUGAGCUUAAAAGAUUUAGUAAAGUACAAUAUAUUGCACGAAAUUUUAACUCUUAAAAAUUUUUAGUUGGGGCGACUUUGGAACAAUAUAACUUCCGAAUAUAUAAAAUACUUUUAAAUAUUGAUCCAAAAAAUUUUGAUUCAUAGAAUUAGUUACCUUAGGGAUAACAGCAUAAUCUUUCUUAAGAGUUCUAAUCGAAAGAAGGGAUUGUGACCUCGAUGUUGGACUAGGA